AAAGGUAUAGGCUACCAUCUCUGGGCACAAAUAAUUCUCCAAGCCUAAAUUCUGGAAACUCUGAACAAGAUGAAUUUGAACAAACUCAACUCACUCAUGGGUCACAUAUUCAAGAGCCUUACCUUCUACCCUGCAAUGCCCUACCUAUCAAAAAUGGAAACCUUGAACUUUAUCCCUUGGACUUCACCAGAACUAACCCUACAAUGAAC
This 209-nucleotide long non-coding RNA is filed under the name Capsicum annuum. RNAcentral's name for it is "long non-coding RNA (CANN_LNC008899)". The record is from RNAcentral. Lineage: Eukaryota; Viridiplantae; Streptophyta; Magnoliopsida; Solanales; Solanaceae.